UAGGGAAUCUUCCACAAUGGACGCAAGUCUGAUGGAGCAACGCCGCGUNAGUGAAGAAGGUUUUCGGACCGUAAAGCUCUGUUGUUGGUGAAGAAGGAUAGAGGUAGUAACUGGCCUUUAUUUGACGGUAAUCAACCAGAAAGUCACGGCUAACUACGUGCCAGCAGCCGCGGUAAUACGUAGGUGGCAAGCGUUGUCCGGAUUUAUUGGGCGUAAAGCGAGCGCAGGCGGAAGAAUAAGUCUGAUGUGAAAGCCCUCGGCUUAACCGAGGAAUUGCAUCGGAAACUGUUUUUCUUGAGUGCAGAAGAGGAGAGUAGAACUCCAUGUGUUAGCGGUGGAAUGCGUAGAUAUAUGGAAGAAUACCAGUGGCGAAGGCGGCUCUCUGGUCUGCAACUGACGCUGAGGCUCGAAAGCAUGGGUAGCGAACAGGAUUAGAUACCCUGGUAGUCCAUGCCGUAAACGAUGAGUGCUAAGUGUUGGGAGGCUUCCGCCUCUCAGUGCUGCAGCUAACGCAUUAAGCACUCCGCCUGGGGGAGUACGACCGCAAGGUUGAAAC
This 556-nucleotide ribosomal RNA is filed under the name uncultured bacterium. RNAcentral describes it as "partial 16S ribosomal RNA". It matches the Rfam family "Bacterial small subunit ribosomal RNA", at positions 355 to 900 of the family's 1533-position model. The record is from RNAcentral.